CAGCAGCCACGGUAAUACGAAGGGGGCUAGCGUUGUUCGGAAUUACUGGGCGUAAAGCGCACGUAGGCGGAUCGAUCAGUCAGGGGUGAAAUCCCAGGGCUCAACCCUGGAACUGCCUUUGAUACUGUCGAUCUGGAGUAUGGAAGAGGUGAGUGGAAUUCCGAGUGUAGAGGUGAAAUUCGUAGAUAUUCGGAGGAACACCAGUGGCGAAGGCGGCUCACUGGUCCAUUACUGACGCUGAGGUGCGAAAGCGUGGGGAGCAAACAGGAUUAGAUACCCGCGUAGUCCCUGUCUCUUAUAC
This 301-nucleotide ribosomal RNA is filed under the name uncultured bacterium. Its description in RNAcentral is "partial 16S ribosomal RNA". It matches the Rfam family "Bacterial small subunit ribosomal RNA", at positions 509 to 807 of the family's 1533-position model. The record is from RNAcentral.